UUAGUAUGAAGCAAAAAUUGCAUUUAGUUUCGACCUAAAAAUUUGAUAUUAUUAUCCCUACUAAU
Molecule: transfer RNA, 65 nt
Filed under: Apoderus jekelii
Lineage: Eukaryota; Metazoa; Arthropoda; Insecta; Coleoptera; Attelabidae
Description: tRNA-Arg
Source: RNAcentral